GACUGCUUGGCGCAAUGGUAGCGCGUUCGACUUCAGAUCGAAAGGUCACAGGUCCGGCUGAAUCGAGUGUUCC
Non-coding RNA from Caenorhabditis briggsae, 73 nucleotides. The record is from Rfam. Lineage: Eukaryota; Metazoa; Nematoda; Chromadorea; Rhabditida; Rhabditidae.